GAUGAAGAACGCAGCGAAAUGCGAUAAGUAAUGUGAAUUGCAGAAUUCAGUGAAUCAUCGAAUCUUUGAACGCACAUUGCGCCCGCCAGUAUUCUGGCGGGCAUGCCUGUUCGAGCGUCAUUUCAACCAUCAAGCCCCGGGCUUGUGUUGGGGACCUGCGGCUGCCGCAGGCCCUGAAAAGCAGUGGCGGGCUCGCUGUCACACCGAGCGUAGUAGCAUACAUCUCGCUCUGGGCGUGCUGCGGGUUCCGGCCGUUAAACCCCCUUUUAACCCAAGGUUGACCUCGGAUCAGGUAGGAAGACCCGCUGAACUUAAGCAUAUCAAUAAGCGGAGGA
RNAcentral lists this unclassified non-coding RNA (335 nucleotides) under soil metagenome. RNAcentral's name for it is "partial contains 5.8S ribosomal RNA, internal transcribed spacer 2, and large subunit ribosomal RNA". The stretch from base 1 to 120 matches the Rfam family "5.8S ribosomal RNA", at positions 35 to 154 of the family's 154-position model. The record is from RNAcentral.